Molecule: long non-coding RNA, 3166 nt
Organism: Oncorhynchus kisutch (coho salmon)
Lineage: Eukaryota; Metazoa; Chordata; Actinopteri; Salmoniformes; Salmonidae
Source: Ensembl
CCCGCUUUAAAACCGUCAUCACAUGUGCGCCUACUCCUUGCUUUGGCUUUGUUUACAAACCGUAAACUAGCUAUUAGUCGCUAGCUUAAGCAGAACGUACGACCAAAUAUACUGGUAACCUUUCAUCUGUGGUGUGACUGUUUGCUAGCAAGUUACUUAUUAGCAUGCCGGCAAAAGCACACUCUGUUGUGACUGGAUGCCUUAGUGUACAAUUAACCUUACACUAUUUUCCGAAGAAUUAAGACAUCCGACGAUAGUGGCUCGGGUGGACAGGCUGCAAAUGAAGAUCAUGUCAGACAUGUGCAGUGCACAUUUCGAGUGAAGUUGCUUUAUCAAUUGGGAAGAACAUUCAAUGGGUAUUGCCAGGAAGCCGAUCCUGAAGACAGAUGCUGUACCAUCAUCGUCAGUAGAUUUUGCAAGCGUAGACCAUGAUCUUCCCAGGCAACCCACCGAAACAGGAAUAGUGCAAUACAAAAAACAGCUUUCCCAAGGCAAAGAAGGGGGACUUGGUGUGAAGCCUAUGAAGUUGGACCUAACAUACUGGAAGGCUCCUGGAUCUCCUCUUCAACGAGGUCUGCCUUGAGCCAGCAAAGGACCGUAUGCAGGGAAGCUGUGGGAGCUGACCAUCCCAGAACCCCUGUCUGCCCAGUGUGAGAGACCUGACAAGGAGGCCAUGUGGGUGACUGAAGCCAAGUGGGUGACUGAAGCCUGCUUGAUUGAAGUGGGGUACAUGGGUCCCCCUCUCAUCCAUCUCUAUACUGUAGUAGGUUACAUUCCCUAAAGCCUAAGUAAUUCACUUUUACGUGAUAUGACAUCACACUUUGUAUAGUUUUUUUCAAGCAUUCGGACGGGAGAUGAGUGUUACAAAUUGUAUGAAUCAAUGGAUCCUGCACAUUGUAGUGUGCCGGGUGCCUAUAUUAGGCUUUUUAACGAUGUACGCUGAGAGUCGGGAAGAAAGUUCAGGGAGUGAAUACAUUUAAUUAAUAAAUGAACAGCGCACCGACAUGAAACAGCAACAAUGACGACUGGGGAAGAAACUGAAGGGAGUGACAUAUAAAGGGCAGGUAAUCAAGGAGGUGAUGGAGUCCAGGUGAGUGUCAUUAUGAGCUGGUGGCAGGCUUAUGGCUCUGGGACCUUUUAUGUCAAAUGAUGUCUCACCAUUAUUUAUCAUGAGUGAUCAUGUUGAUCAAUAUUUCAGCUAUGGUGGCCAAUGGUAAAUAAUCAAAUACAUUUCUGAUCAAUACAUAUCAUUCUGAACAUAUUGCCAUUUAUAAUGCUAAUUCAGAGGCACCAAUACAUUUCCAGUACAUUUAUUGUAUGCUGUUUUCAUAUACAAUCCCUUAUGUCUAAGCUUCUAAGAUGACUCAAGCUUCACUAAUUCUUGUGAAGUGUACCAGUUAACUGUAUUCUGUAAUGAGUUACAAAACAAUAGAAAUGCAGUUGUGUAUUGCUGCUGUUUGUCUGAUAUCCAACAGUCCAUGAUCCGCUCUGUUGACCAUGGGAACAUUUAGCAGGGAAAAUAGUUUGAGGCAUACCAUUUAGGCUCAGAAUGACAUGUGGUCCAUUGUUUACCUUGUUACCUGGCAGCGACCAGUGUUUUUCAAAGCGAUGUCAGUCAAGGCAAGUUCAUGAAUAUAAGCUCCCCGCCCAUUCAGCCUGUUCGUUCAGGCUUUCUGAUCGUUAGAGAUGAGAGAAAAGGUCAAAUGUCUUAAAUUCUGAGCAUUUUAAUAGCGUCAAAAUAUUAUAGGUGAUGUUUUGGUCAUUCAAAGGCUAUUUUUAACUUGGGAAAGAGGAUGACUGUGCAUGAGCUAUAAAACAUGAGUGCACCAUGUUUUAUAGCUAUACAGUGUUUGUUUACAUUUACUUUGUUUACAAACAUUGGAGUUAAACAAGAGUAUAUUUUAUGUUCGACAGUUAAACUAAGCUCAUGAGGCAUUUCUAAGAUAUUAUUCAAUAAUCAAUAGGUAUAAAUUAUUAAUUUACAAGUCUAAAUGGAUGGAUGUGAGGAGUUGGCUAUAGCACAAACAGGUCUGGGGCCAGGCUAUUGGGUGCUUUUCUACUCUGGGAUUUGCUUUACAGUGCCAACUCACCUCCCAUUGGCUGGGUUAACAAGGAAAUAAUUGCUAAUGAUUACAUGAGGAUUUGAUACAGUAGGUAAGCUUGCAUUUCAUCUUGUCUUUAUUAAGAAAAUUAAGAGGAAAAAUGUGACAAAAAUGUCAUGUUAAAGUGAGGUCUCUAGCCAUCUAUGUCAUUUUUAUCCAGAGCAGCUUACAGUCGUGAGUUUUCCCCACGGAAAUCGAACCCACGACCCUGUCGUCGAAACCACAACCAAAACCCACAACCCUGCCACAAAACCCACAACCCUGCCGUAGCAAGUGCCAUAAUCUACCAAUUGAGCCACACGGGACCACACAUAGUUCAAUAUUUCAUUGUUUAAAAUGCUUUAGUGGGUCUUGUACGCUAGCCUAAAGACAAUGUAGUAUGGUGUCUGACUGUUUUUCUGAAAAUAACUGUAUUUAUAUAUUUGUAUCUAAGGGCUAGACAUCCAUAUUUUUCCACUCAACAAACUUAAUUUCCAAUUCAUUAACACACAGUAGGGGCUAUUGAGCCAAUAACAUGACUGGCACAGGAUCAGGGUGAUAAACCUGCCAUGAAUACAAAUCCAUUUUUACACUGCCUGCUAUUCUCUCACUCACCAAAGUUGGUAUUAGAGAAUAUAAUGGCAUGGCACAGUAACUAUUGACUGAUUCCAAAUGUGAAGCAAGUUUAGACCAAGGCCCUCUUCCUCCUUUGAAUCAUACAGUGUAAUCUGAUCUGCUGUAGUCAGACAGGGAAUCUCAAGAAUCAAAAAAUGUGUGAAAAAUAUGUGGGUAUAAAAGGAGCACAACAAUGAUCUCAUUUUAUAGAAUAGUUGAAGAAACUAGGAGGCAGAGUUUUGAGAAGAAGACAGACUUCAGUUCAAGUAAAGGCAUGGUAGGAAUACAAAAUGAUGUAUUGAAAUGUAUGUAAUUUAUGUAAUGCUUUAAUUAAACAAAAUCUGUGUCUGCACUACGUACUCUCACUACUGGUGUCCCUUAGGGCUCGGUUCUAGGCCCUCUCCUCUUCUCUCCAUACACCAAGUCACUCAUUCUGACACCCAGGUGGCGACACGCUCUCUGCGUGCCUG